UACGGAGGGAGCUAGCGUUGUUCGGAAUUACUGGGCGUAAAGCGCGCGUAGGCGGUUUAUCAAGUCAGAGGUGAAAUCCCGGGGCUCAACUUCGGAACUGCCUUUAAUACUGCCAGUCUAGAGUCCGGAAGAGGUAAGUGGAACUCCUAGUGUAGAGGUGGAAUUCGUAGAUAUUAGGAAGAACACCAGUGGCGAAGGCGGCUUACUGGUCCGGUACUGACGCUGAGGUGCGAAAGCGUGGGGAGCAAACAGG
This 253-nucleotide ribosomal RNA is filed under the name uncultured bacterium. Its description in RNAcentral is "partial 16S ribosomal RNA". It matches the Rfam family "Bacterial small subunit ribosomal RNA", at positions 524 to 776 of the family's 1533-position model. The record is from RNAcentral.